UUAAGUUCAGCGGGUAGCUUGCCUGAUUUGAGAUCAUGAGGAGGGGUGUGGUUGUCAACAACAUCAAGUGAUACCCUUGACAAUACAAUUCAAUUCACGGCGAUCACUGCUGAAUGCCCAGGUCGUCCAUCAAUGUAUUGAUGAACAUAUGUGGAUAUGAUUCUCAAACAGGCAUACCCUCGGCAGGGCCGGGAGGUGCC
This 200-nucleotide unclassified non-coding RNA is filed under the name soil metagenome. RNAcentral's name for it is "partial internal transcribed spacer 2". The record is from RNAcentral.